GAAACGACUGCUAAGACUGGAUAGGAAGAUAAAAGGCAUCUUUUAUCUUUUAAAAGACCUAGUAAUAGGUAUGCUUUAGGAGGGGCUUGCGCCAUAUUAGUUAGUUGGUAGGGUAAUGGCCUACCAAGACGAUGAUGUGUAGCUGGACUGAGAGGUUGAACAGCCACAUUGGGACUGAGACACGGCCCAAACUCCUACGGGAGGCAGCAGUAGGGAAUUUUCGGCAAUGGAGGAAACUCUGACCGAGCAACGCCGCGUGAAUGACGAAGUACUUCGGUAUGUAAAGUUCUUUUAUCAAGGAAGAAAAGCAAAUGGCGAACCAUUUGUUUGCCGGUACUUGAUGAAUAAGCCCCGGCUAAUUAUGUCCCAGCAGCCGCGGUAAGACAUAAGGGGCAAGUGUUAUCCGGAAUUAUUGGGCGUAAAGGGUGCGUAGGCGGUCUAGUAAGUCAGUGGUGUAAUGGCAACGCUUAACGUUGUCCGGCUAUUGAAACUGCUAAACUUGAGUUAGAUAGAGGCGAGUGGAAUUCCAUGUGUAGCGGUAAAAUGCGUAAAUAUAUGGAGGAACACCAGAGGCGUAGGCGGCUCGCUGGGUCUUAACUGACGCUGAGGCACGAAAGCGUGGGGAGCAAACAGGAUUAGAUACCCUGGUAGUCCACGCCGUAAACGAUGAGUACUAAGUGUCGGGUUAAACCGGUACUGAAGUUAACACAUUAAGUACUCCGCCUGAGUAGUACGUACGCAAGUAUGAAACUUAAAGGAAUUGACGGGACUCCGCACAAGCGGUGGAUCAUGUUGUUUAAUUCGAAGAUACCCGAAAAACCUUACCAGGUCUUGACAUGUUUUUGCAAAAUGAUAGUAAUAUCGUGGAGGUUACCAGAAACACAGGUGGUGCAUGGUUGUCGUCAGCUCGUGUCGUGAGAUGUUAGGUUAAGUCCUAAAACGAGCGAAACCCUUAUCGUUAGUUGCCAGCACGUUAUGGUGGGGACUUUAACGAGACUGCCAAUGAUAAAUUGGAGGAAGGUGAAGAUCACGUCAAAUCAGCAUGCCCCUUAUGACCUGGGCUACAAACGUGAUACAAUGGCUGUUACAAAGGGUAGCUGAAACGCAAGUUCUUGGCCAAUCCCCAAAAACAGUCCCAGUCCGGAUUGAAGUCUGCAACUCGACUUCAUGAAGUUGGAAUCGCUAGUAAUCGCGAAUCAGCAUGUCGCGGUGAAUACGUUCUCGGGGUUUGUACACACCGCCCGUCAAAC
RNAcentral lists this ribosomal RNA (1250 nucleotides) under 'Empoasca motti' phytoplasma. Its description in RNAcentral is "bacterial SSU rRNA". It matches the Rfam family "Bacterial small subunit ribosomal RNA", at positions 153 to 1402 of the family's 1533-position model. The record is from RNAcentral. Lineage: Bacteria; Bacillati; Mycoplasmatota; Mollicutes; Acholeplasmatales; Acholeplasmataceae.